RNAcentral lists this ribosomal RNA (834 nucleotides) under Xanthiomyces spinosus. RNAcentral describes it as "LSU rRNA". It matches the Rfam family "Eukaryotic large subunit ribosomal RNA", at positions 70 to 938 of the family's 3401-position model. Lineage: Eukaryota; Fungi; Ascomycota; Sordariomycetes; Sordariales; Chaetomiaceae. The record is from RNAcentral.
AGGGAUUGCCCUAGUAACGGCGAGUGAAGCGGCAACAGCUCAAAUUUGAAAUCUGGCUUCGGCCCGAGUUGUAAUUUGCAGAGGAAGCUUUAGGCGCGGCACCAUCUGAGUCCCCUGGAACGGGGCGCCAUAGAGGGUGAGAGCCCCGUAUAGAUGGACGCCUAGCCUGUGUAAAGCUCCUUCGACGAGUCGAGUAGUUUGGGAAUGCUGCUCAAAAUGGGAGGUAAAUUUCUUCUAAAGCUAAAUACCGGCCAGAGACCGAUAGCGCACAAGUAGAGUGAUCGAAAGAUGAAAAGCACUUUGAAAAGAGGGUUAAAUAGCACGUGAAAUUGUUGAAAGGGAAGCGCUUGUGACCAGACUUGCGCCGAGUUGAUCAUCCGGUGUUCUCACCGGUGCACUCAGCCCGGCUCAGGCCAGCAUCGGUUCUCGUGGGGGGAUAAAGGUCCUGGGAACGUAGCUCCUUCGGGAGUGUUAUAGCCCAGGGCGUAAUGCCCUCGUGGGGACCGAGGUUCGCGCAUCUGCAAGGAUGCUGGCGUAAUGGUCAUCAGCGACCCGUCUUGAAACACGGACCAAGGAGUCAAGGUUUUGCGCGAGUGUUUGGGUGUCAAACCCGCACGCGUAAUGAAAGUGAACGUAGGUGAGAGCUUCGGCGCAUCAUCGACCGAUCCUGAUGUUUUCGGAUGGAUUUGAGUAGGAGCGUUAAGCCUUGGACCCGAAAGAUGGUGAACUAUGCUUGGAUAGGGUGAAGCCAGAGGAAACUCUGGUGGAGGCUCGCAGCGGUUCUGACGUGCAAAUCGAUCGUCAAAUCUGAGCAUGGGGCGAAAGACUAAUCGA